UGGUGUUUACGGCGUCGUUUGCUGCGGGACUUAUUACUCUUCUUCCGGAUCUUAAGAGCCUCCCUAUCUCUGCAGUUACGGUGGCGGCGACGGUGACGAGGGGAGGAUAAGUCCGACGAUGAGGAAGAAUCGAAUGUGUGGGAAGAGACUGAAGACGACGAGGGGGCCAUGGUUAGAGACGAGGAGAGAAGAGGUGAAGCACAAGGGUUUUGGUUCAAAAUUUGGGAGCUUCGAUGAAACAAGUCCGAAUCAUCGCGUGGGGCAUUUUUUUUUUUUUUUUUUUUUUUU
Molecule: long non-coding RNA, 288 nt
Filed under: Jatropha curcas
Lineage: Eukaryota; Viridiplantae; Streptophyta; Magnoliopsida; Malpighiales; Euphorbiaceae
Description: long non-coding RNA (JCUR_LNC003523)
Source: RNAcentral